CCAACGCCGGGGACCCCGCCCUCCGCGCCACCGCCCCCGAGGGUCCCGCCCCCUGUGCCCCUCUGCUUCCGGGAACCUUGCGCUCCUCGCCCCUCUCCCCCCGGGAGCCCCGCCCUCAGCGCAGCUCCCAGAGCCACCGUCUCGCGCCUCCUUGCGUCCUCCGGAUCCGCUCUCUCAGGGCUUACAGCGGGGCCCCCGCUUUUCGGGGCUCCCCUCGGCCAGCGCCGGAGGUGGCUGGCGCAUCCCCAGGUCCGCGCCUGGCAGCCUGACGGGACUGUUGGGGGUGACCGCCAUAGCGCCACGUGGUCACUUGUUUGACAAAGGAAACUUUUUUCUCCUUACGAAGUGCGGCAUUUCUGGUCCGAGCCACCGGCCGCCUUAUGCCUAUUGUAUUCCCUUUCCCUGCCGAGCCAUCUUUUUCGCUUUCUUUGAGCUGUCCCAAACCUGGGCUAGGGUCCUGGCGCGGUGAGCUGAUGGAAGGGGGUCGGGGGUUCAGGGCAGCGAGGGCGCCGAAGGUACGAGCUGGGGAGACUGGACUGGUGUCGGGAGUGGCGACAGAAAAUCAGGUUCCAUGCCUCCUAAAGAGAGGAGUAAAAUGAAGUGCCGGGUAGCUCACGGUGCCUUUCCCUAAAAGGGAGUGUGGAACUGCCGGCAGGCAUCUGGGGCCGGCGGGCUGGUGCACCUGCACUCCUAUGUGCUUUUGCAGGUGAAGACGUAUUCCCCGAGCCGGCCGCGGGGCCUUUGCUUUCUCUUGGAAUCUCACGAAAAUCACGAGAACUCUAGGCGGCUUGAGGUUUGCAAACCAACUGAAGAGCGGCAGAAAGUUUUCAUAGGCAGGUCAGCCGGGCCAUUUUGAAGUGUGCCCCAGAGCACAACGAUUAAAAUUAUACAGAGCCCUCAUCUGCUUUACUUUCUGGCUGAUUUGACUGUAACAGGUCUCAGAUGAAGAUACUGAGCCAUGAAAGGAAAAAACUUCACCUGAGAUCAUCCCCCGUCGCCCCUCAUGUGAUGGAACGGAGAGUCACAAAACAGAGAUGCUGCCCUGAAAGAGGACUGUUCUCUGUUCUUCACUCCCACACCCAGAAAGAACAGGAGAUGGAAGAGAGUCGGCCUGGUGUAUUUAGAAGACCGACUUCCCUGUGUGAUUGGAGGGCAGUGUUCUUGACCAAGACAAAAAAGAGAUGCAGCAAGAAAGAAAAGACAAGGAGAUGAUUUUACAAAUCUACUACGGGCAGGGAAUGUGCUUUGAAUAUGUUGAAGGUUUGGGUUAUUUUUGCCAUUGUAGGGAGAGUUUUCACUGACACAACCACGGUCUGUCACCACGUCCGGGCAGGUGUGAGGCACUCCCUGUGCCAACAGGAGCAGAAUCACCUCUGGGUAAGGCUGCAUAAUCCGCGUGAGGCUCAAAACUGGGUCCUUCCCUGUCAACACCAUACUUUACAUAGCAAAGACAACCGGCUUGACUGCUCUGCGAAAAAUGCUGAAAGACCUCUUGAAAACAACAAGACCCUCCCUGUCCAAAAUUUUCCAUUUAGAAAAGCCUCUGCAAUUUUUAGUCCUUCGUAAGAAUAUAAAUAAGUCCAGAAGCAAUUGUUCACUUUUUCCCCUUCACCUGAAAUUCCCACCCCACUGUCGCCAACUAUAGAAAUUCCAUCCUUAAGACCUAGCCCAAAUGAAGUCCCCAUGACCACCCACACCGAAGUGAAGGUAGGUAGGCACAAAAGAGACAGUUUGUCUCCUUUAUAAUCUGAUCUCAGGUAGACCUUUGUAUUUUAAUAUUUAUUUAUUUAUUUUUGGCUACGUCAGGUCUUAGUUGUGACG
Long non-coding RNA from Aethalodelphis obliquidens (Pacific white-sided dolphin), 1821 nucleotides. RefSeq lists it as uncharacterized. Lineage: Eukaryota; Metazoa; Chordata; Mammalia; Artiodactyla; Delphinidae. The record is from RefSeq and is a predicted model, not a curated record. The transcript has 3 exons.